AAUAAGCGGAGGAAAAGAAAGCAACAGCGAUAGCCUCAGUAACGGCGAGUGAAGCGGCUACAGCUCAAAUUUGAAAUCUGGCCUCCUCUGGGGGUCCGAGUUGUAAUUUGCAGAGGAUGCUUUGGCAUUGGCGGCGGUCUAAGUUCCUUGGAACAGGACAUCGCAGAGGGUGAGAAUCCCGUACGUGGGCGCCUGCCUUUGCCGUGUAAAGCUCCUUCGACGAGUCGAGUUGUUUGGGAAUGCAGCUCUAAAUGGGAGGUAAAUUUCUCCUAAAGCUAAAUACCGGCCAGAGACCGAUAGCGCACAAGUAGAGUGAUCGAAAGAUGAAAAGUACUUUGGAAAGAGAGUCAAAUAGCACGUGAAAUUGUUGAAAGGGAAGCGCUUGCAGCCAGACUUGCCCGCAGUUGCUCACCUAGGCUUUCGCCUGGGGCACUCUUCUGCGGGCAGGCCAGCAUCAGUUUGGGCGGUCGGAUAAAGGCCUCUGUCAUGUACCACCCCUCGGGGUGGCCUUAUAGGGGAGGCGUAAUGCGACCAGCCCGGACUGAGGUCCGCGCAUCUGCUAGGAUGCUGGCGUAAUGGCUGUAAGCGG
Molecule: ribosomal RNA, 589 nt
Filed under: Leptosphaerulina sp. LSEM1260
Lineage: Eukaryota; Fungi; Ascomycota; Dothideomycetes; Pleosporales; Didymellaceae
Description: eukaryotic LSU rRNA
Rfam family: Eukaryotic large subunit ribosomal RNA
Source: RNAcentral